CGGAGGGUGCAAGCGUUAUCCGGAUUCACUGGGUUUAAAGGGUGCGUAGGUGCUUGUAAGUCAGUGGUGAAAUGCCGGAGCUCAACUCCGGAACUGCCAUUGAUACUGCUUAGCUUGAAUCAAGUCGAGGUGGAUGGAAUAUUACAUGUAGCGGUGAAAUGCUUAGAUAUGUAAUAGAACACCGAUUGCGAAGGCAGUUCACUAGGCUUGUAUUGACACUGAGGCACGAAAGCGUGGGGAUCAAACAGGAUUAGAUACCCUGGUAGUCCACGCCCUAAACGAUGUAAACUCGACAUCAGCGAUAUACUGUUGGUGUCCAAGCGAAAGCGUUAAGUUUACCACCUGGGAAGUACGACCGCAAGGUUG
RNAcentral lists this ribosomal RNA (366 nucleotides) under uncultured organism. RNAcentral describes it as "bacterial SSU rRNA". It matches the Rfam family "Bacterial small subunit ribosomal RNA", at positions 526 to 896 of the family's 1533-position model. The record is from RNAcentral.